Long non-coding RNA from Solanum pennellii, 2313 nucleotides. RefSeq lists it as uncharacterized. The record is from RefSeq and is a predicted model, not a curated record. The transcript has 2 exons. Lineage: Eukaryota; Viridiplantae; Streptophyta; Magnoliopsida; Solanales; Solanaceae.
GCCACAAGUUCAAAUCUGAUUCAUUAUCAGUCGAAUGAGUAGUGUUAACAUGUACCUUGGCUUCAUGAGUAGGUUGCUUAGGUUUUUAAAUAAGUAGAUAGAGUUCAUCCUUCAGUCUACCAAUCUCCAUCACCUUUCAACUUGAGAGAUCUUAUAAAAUACAAAAGUCAGAAUUAAAAAAAAUCCAGAAUUUAGCUCCCUCGUGGCUUGGGUGACUUUAAAUACAGACAUUAAGUUGUAUUCAAACUGUGGUAGAAGGAACACACUUUUAGUAUACUUCUACUUGAAAUUGAAUUAAGUCAUAUAUGUGUAUCAAGCAAGAUGUCUCCAUUAAGAAGACAAACCUUUUUAGGAUUGACAUUUGCAAUAACUGAGGAUCUAUCUAGCAUGUGAACAUCAUAUACCAUGUGAUUUGUUGCUCCAGUGUCUAGAAUCCAGUUCGUAUUAUUAUCAUAAACUAGACAAACACUCUUAUGCAUAUUUCACAGGUUUUACCUGCAUUAUUUAGAUAUCCUGCCACAUUACAUUUUCUGAAGCACAAUUAUUAUUGUUCAACUACUGGAGUAUUUGUUCAUAUUUCUCUUCAGAAAACAGAUAGGAUUUAGGUUGUACUUGCAUUCCUUCAGCCAUCUGACACCUUGAAUCAUACUCCUGUUUCUGAUAGAGACUAGUCACAUUUUUUAUAACCUGACUUUCUUAUCCCUGAAUAAUUGUAGGAUCUUGCUCAGCCUGAACAUGAUAAGCUCCUCCUUAUCUACUUGUGUUUUCCUUUUUUUUUUUUAACUUGAUAGCCGAUUAACUCGUAGCAGUUUUUCUUAACAUGACCCUUCAGUUUACAGAAGUCACAUUGCACAUUAUAAUCCUUUUUAAAUCUUUGAACACCUGCACCUGCUUUUUGAGUACAAUAUUGAAGCUUCAUAUUGUGACGAAGCAUAGUGAAAUUUUGGUCCAUUUCCAAGUAGACCAACAAAAAAACUAAUAAACCAAGAGAUCUCUGGAUUUUUCAAAGUAACAACUGAGAAGAGGAACAAGAGCCUCAAGCUCAUUCCAUAAACCUUUAAGUUUGGUAAAAUAGAUUGAAACAGAUGAUGUUCCCUAAGUUAAAGAUGUAAUUUCUUUGUAGAGAUUGAAAGUUCUUGCACCAUUGAUUUUAUCAAAUCUUUCUUUCAAUUCUUCCCACAAAACCCAUACAUUAGAUGCAUAAAUAAAACCACUUAGUAGACUAUUAGACACAUAAUUCAUCAACCACGAUAACACUACAACAUUAAACCUUUUCUAUUUUAGCCCAAAGUUCUUUUGCAAAUUUCUCUUUCUUACAUGUACCAUCUAUGAAUCCUAUAUUGUUUCUUCCUAAAUAAGCUAUGCAUAGAAAUCUACUCCAAACAGAGUAAUUCUCUAUUAUAGUCAAUUGAAGAGAAACCAAAGAAACACCACUCAGAUCAAAAGUAUGUAAAUGGAGAGGAUGACUGAGAUCAAUCAUUUGUGUCACUGGAUUAACCUGCUGGUAGCAAGUCGUCAUUGCCAGAGUUUGUGAUCUUGAUUUUUGUGGAUUUCUUAUCACCAAAAUAAAAUCCCAGAAUUUGAGACAAAGAACUUAGAAAGAGAACACUUCUAUAGUUAGAUACUCGUAAUGCUCGAAUACCAUGAAUGAUCUUAGGCGUACUUAUAUGCCUAAUAACUACUUUAUAUCAUAUAUUUAGCCGAGUUGAGGACAUUUUGAUGGAAAAGUUAAGUAUUUAGAGUUGUUUUGAUUCCGCAUCUUCUAACCAAUAUGAUUAGAUUUUUCAGGCCAAAGAUCAUUGGAAAACGAGUUGAAUUUGGGCACCAGAUCAAAAGUCAGAAAGUAGAAGAAAAAGUGGCUGAAAAGAAGAACCAAGAAGAUAGAAAUUGCAUUGGAAAAGGAGAAUCUCCUCAUCGCGGAGGCAUUUCUUCCAUGCAGAGAAGGAACUCCCCAUAACAGGGGAGUUCGCGAUAGAGUUGCGUCGUGAGGGGUCAUUCCACCCAUGAGCCAAGUGGUGCGAGGGAACAGGUCCGCGUGGACACAAAAAUCAUCCCACGUGUUUUUUUAGACUAUAAAUAGUUUAAGUGUCCUCUUAUUGUACAAUACAAUUUCCAAAAAAAAGACGAGAGCUAGGAAAAAGGCGAUUUUGGUGCCAUUUUCUAGGAUUUUUCCUCUUCUUCUUCAUCUUGGAUAAUACAUUCUAUAUUGUUAUUUGAUGUCAUGAGUAGCUAAAACCCCAUUUCCUAGGGUUGUAGCUAUGAUUGAUGGUUUAAUGUGAACUUAUUUCUUUUAAAGGAAGGGUUAUUUUAAAC